This 286-nucleotide long non-coding RNA is filed under the name Ananas comosus (pineapple). RNAcentral describes it as "long non-coding RNA (ACOM_LNC005159)". The record is from RNAcentral. Lineage: Eukaryota; Viridiplantae; Streptophyta; Magnoliopsida; Poales; Bromeliaceae.
GUUGUACAUCAUCUUCGGCGAUGUGCAUUUGAAUCAACAAUCAGCACUAUUAAACUUGAUUUAGAAUAUUUGAAUUUUUUAGUGUCGGAAUUUCACGAUAUUUCGGCGUCAUUUGCCUACUAUUCAAGUGGUCUCUAAAUUGAGUAUUCCUGUUGGCUAAUAUUUAGUGAUUGAGACCACUUGAUCGCUAAGCAAAUGAUGUUGAAAAAUUAUAAAAUAUGAGUUUUGUGAAGUUCAAAUAGCAUAGAUUAUGUUAAAUAGUGGCGAGUGUCAUUUUAUAUGUAUG